CCAAUAGCGUAUAUUAAAGUUGUUGCAGUUAAAAAGCUCGUAGUUGAAUUUCGGGAUCAAUAUGCUGGUCGUGCCUUUGGUACGUACUGGCAUUAUUGAUUUCUCCCUUCUGAAGAACCUUGAUGUCAUUAAUUUGGUGUCUUGGGGAAUCAGGACCGUUACUUUGAAAAAAUUAGAGUGUUUAAAGCAGGCUCACGCUUGAAUACAUUAGCAUGGAAUAAUGAAAUAGGACGUUUGAUUCUAUUUUGUUGGUUUCUAGGAUCGACGUAAUGAUUAAUAGGGAUAGUUGGGGGCAUUAGUAUUCAAUUGUCAGAGGUGAAAUUCUUGGAUUUAUUGAAGACUAACUACUGCGAAAGCAUUUGCCAAGGAUGUUUUCAUUAAUCAAGAACGAAAGUUAGGGGAUCGAAGACGAUCAGAUACCGUCGUAGUCUUAACCAUAAACUAUGCCGACUAGGGAUCGGAUGAUGUUAAUUUUUUAAUGACUCAUUCGGCGCCUUACG
This 500-nucleotide unclassified non-coding RNA is filed under the name uncultured Glomeromycotina. RNAcentral's name for it is "SSU rRNA". It matches the Rfam family "Eukaryotic small subunit ribosomal RNA", at positions 591 to 1092 of the family's 1831-position model. Lineage: Eukaryota; Fungi; Glomeromycota. The record is from RNAcentral.